UGGUCAAAGCUGAUUGAGAUUGAAUGG
Molecule: non-coding RNA, 27 nt
Filed under: Homo sapiens (human)
Lineage: Eukaryota; Metazoa; Chordata; Mammalia; Primates; Hominidae
Source: RNAcentral